RNAcentral lists this ribosomal RNA (497 nucleotides) under uncultured bacterium. RNAcentral's name for it is "partial 16S ribosomal RNA". It matches the Rfam family "Bacterial small subunit ribosomal RNA", at positions 28 to 507 of the family's 1533-position model. The record is from RNAcentral.
GAUGAACGCUGGCGGCGUGCCUAAUACAUGCAAGUCGAGCGAACAGAUGAGGAGCUUGCUCCUCUGACGUUAGCGGCGGACGGGUGAGUAACACGUGGAUAACCUACCUAUAAGACUGGGAUAACUUCGGGAAACCGGAGCUAAUACCGGAUAAUAUAUUGAACCGCAUGGUUCAAUAGUGAAAGACGGUUUUGCUGUCACUUAUAGAUGGAUCCGCGCCGCAUUAGCUAGUUGGUAAGGUAACGGCUUACCAAGGCAACGAUGCGUAGCCGACCUGAGAGGGUGAUCGGCCACAAUGGAACUGAGACACGGUCCAGACUCCUACGGGAGGCAGCAGUAGGGAAUCUUCCGCAAUGGGCGAAAGCUUGACGGAGCAACGCCGCGUGAGUGAUGAAGGUCUUCGGAUCGCAAAACUCUGUUAUUAGGGAAGAACAAAUGUGUAAGUAACUAUGCACGUCUUGACGGUACCUAAUCAGAAAGCCACGGCUAACUACGUG